ACUGGAGUGGUCAAUCCCAUCUUGACACAUGCACCGACAAGUCAAGUACUUGACUACACCCAGCAUCCUUCCGUCACUGAAUUAGAAAUUCAGGUAGUCCAGUGCCUAAGUGCAGUGAGUUGCUUGCAAGUCACCGUGACGGUCUCAGGUCAGAGGGACAGUUAUACCCAUAUCCCAUCGGAGCAAAUCUUGACAGCAGAAAUAGCUCCAGAGUCGGUCACGUUCAGUGCAGAUGUACCCUUACAUCUCACCUGUAUGCCAUACCAGUAUCUCCACACUCCUUGGUUAAGAGGACAA
This 297-nucleotide long non-coding RNA is filed under the name Elaeis guineensis (African oil palm). Its description in RNAcentral is "long non-coding RNA (EGUI_LNC077452)". The record is from RNAcentral. Lineage: Eukaryota; Viridiplantae; Streptophyta; Magnoliopsida; Arecales; Arecaceae.